AAAAAAAAAAUUAAUAUGACCAGGUUCCUUUCCUCAUGGGGGCCAGGUGUGCAAUGGCUGCGAACAGCAACCUCCUUGGUAGUGUAUGUAGCCUGUUGCAUGGGCUGCUCUAAGAGACCUUUGAGACAGUU
Small nucleolar RNA from Nannospalax galili (Upper Galilee mountains blind mole rat), 131 nucleotides. Its record names the gene SNORA70. It matches the Rfam family "Small nucleolar RNA SNORA70". Rfam says of the family: snoRNA U70 seems to be exclusive to mammals and is a member of the H/ACA class of snoRNA which contain H (ANANNA) and ACA box motifs. The record is from Ensembl. Lineage: Eukaryota; Metazoa; Chordata; Mammalia; Rodentia; Spalacidae.